GGAUAUCGGUCUUUGGGGAGCCUGGUCUUUUGCUUGGACAAAUGCAAGUGCACUUGGAGAUUAGGCUGAACAUAAAAUGAAAGAAAAGUCAAAAAGCACAAAGAGCGGGAGGACUGAGAUCUUGUCCUAAAGUGGAGCAAAGGAGUGGAGCAUGAUGGACUGCAGAGAUAGGCUGUAAAACUAAGCUUGACUGCGUAUCCGGGUGUUUUCUUGAGCGCCGCAUUGUUCACUGAAAGUGAAAUGCUGAUUCUAAUUGAGAGAAGCACACAGGAGCAUGUUCAAAUAGCUCAUUUGGAGCCUGUGUCAUCGCUUACGGCCAUACCACCCUGAACACGCCCGAUCUCGUCCGAUCUCGGAAGCUAAGCAGGGUCGGGCCUGGUUAGUACUUGGAUGGGAGACCGCCUGGGAAUACCAGGUGCUGUAAGCUUUUCUUUCUUUUCUUGCAUCUUUUUGCCGUGUUCUCUCUCCAAGAGGCUAGGAUAUCGGUCUUUGGGGAGCCUGGUCUUUUGCUUGGACAAAUGCAAAUACACUUGGAGAUUAGGCUGAACAUAUAAAUGAAAGAAAAAGUCAAAAAGCACAAAGAGCGGGAGGACUGAGAUCUUGUCCUAAAGUGGAGCAAAGGAGUGGAGCAUGAUGGACUGCAGAGAUAGGCUGUAAAACUAAGCUUGACUGCGUAUCCGGGUGUUUUCUUGAGCGACGCAUUGUUCACUGAAAGUGAAAUGCUGAUUCUAAUUGAGAGAAGCACACAGGAGCAUGUUCAAAUAGCUCAUUUGGAGCCUGUGUCAUCGCUUACGGCCAUACCACCCUGAACACGCCCGAUCUCGUCCGAUCUCGGAAGCUAAGCAGGGUCGGGCCUGGUUAGUACUUGGAUGGGAGACCGCCUGGGAAUACCAGGUGCUGUAAGCUUUUCUUUUUUUGCAUCUUUGCCGUGUUCUCUCUCCAAGAGGCUAGGAUAUCGGGUCUUUGGGGAGCCUGGUCUUUAGCUUGGACAAUGCAAGUGCACUUGGAGAUUAGCUGAACAUAAAUGAAAGAAAAAGUCAAAAAGCACAAAGAGCGGGAGGACUGAGAUCUUGUCCUAAAGUGGAGCAAAGGAGUGGAGCAUGAUGGACUGCAGAGAUAGGCUGUAAAACUAAGCUUGACUGCGUAUCCGGGUGUUUUCUUGAGCGCGCAUUGUUCACUGAAAGUGAAAUGCUGAUUCUAAUUGAGAGAAGCACACAGGAGCAUGUUCAAAUAGCUCAUUUGGAGCCUGUGUCAUCGCUUACGGCCAUACCACCCUGAACACGCCCGAUCUCGUCCGAUCUCGGAAGCUAAGCAGGGUCGGGCCUGGUUAGUACUUGGAUGGGAGACCGCCUGGGAAUACCAGGUGCUGUAAGCUUUUCUUUUUCUUGCAUCUUGUGCCGUGUUCUCUCUCCAAGAGGCUAGGAUAUGGGUCUUUGGGGAGCCUGGUCUUUUGCUUGGACAAAUGCAAAUACACUUGGAGAUUAGCCUUCAAGAUAAAUGAAAGAAAAAGUCAAAAAGCACAAAGAGCGGGAGGACUGAGAUCUUGUCAUGAAGUGGAGCAAAGGAGUGGAGCAUGAUGGACUGCAGAGAUAGGCUGUAAAACUAAGCUUGACUGCGUAUCCGGGUGUUUUCUUGAGCGCGCAUUGUUCACUGAAAGUGAAAUGCUGAUUAUAAUUGAGAGAACCACACAGGAGCAUGUUCAAAUAGCUCAUUUGGAGCCUGUGUCAUCGCUUACGGCCAUACCACCCUGAACACGCCCGAUCUCGUCCGAUCUCGGAAGCUAAGCAGGGUCGGGCCUGGUUAGUACUUGGAUGGGAGACCGCCUGGGAAUACCAGGUGCUGUAAGCUUUUCUUUUUUUGCAUCUUUGCCGUGUUCUCUCUCCAAGAGGCUAGGAUAUGGGUCUUUGGGGAGCCUGGUCUUUAGCUUGGACCAAUGCAAAUACACUUGGAGAUGAGCCUUCAAGAUAAAUGAAAGAAAGAGUCAAAAAAGCACAAAGAGCGGGAGGACUGAGAUCUUGUCAUGAAGCGGAGCAAAGGAGUGGAGCAUGAUGGACUGCAGAGAUAGGCUGUAAAACUAAGCUUGACUGCGUAUCCGGGUGUUUUCUUGAGCGACGCAUUGUUCAUUGAAAGUGAAAUGCUGAUUAUAAUUGAGAGAACCACACAGGAGCACGUUCAAAUAGCUCAUUUGGAGCCUGUGUCAUCGCUUACGGCCAUACCACCCUGAACACGCCUGAUCUUGUCCGAUCUCGGAAGCUAAGCAGGGUCGGGCCUGGUUAGUACUUGGAUGGGAGACCGCCUGGGAAUACCAGGUGCUGUAAGCUUUUCUUUUCUUGUAUCUUGUGCCGUGUUCUCUCUCCAAGAGGCUAGGAUAUGGGUCUUUGGGGAGCCUGGUCUUUAGCUUGGACCAAUGCAAAUACACUUGGAGAUGAGCCUUCAAGAUAAAUGAAAGAAAGAGUCAAAAAAGCACAAAGAGCGGGAGGACUGAGAUCUUGUCAUGAAGCGGAGCAAAGGAGUGGAGCAUGAUGGACUGCAGAGAUAGGCUGUAAAACUAAGCUUGACUGCGUAUCCGGGUGUUUUCUUGAGCGACGCAUUGUUCAUUGAAAGUGAAAUGCUGAUUCUAAUUGAGAGAACCACACAGGAGCACGUUCAAAUAGCUCAUUUGGAGCCUGUGUCAUCGCUUACGGCCAUACCACCCUGAACACGCCCGAUCUCGUCCGAUCUCGGAAGCUAAGCAGGGUCGGGCCUGGUUAGUACUUGGAUGGGAGACCGCCUGGGAAUACCAGGUGCUGUAAGCUUUUCUUUUCUUGUAUCUUGUGCCGUGUUCUCUCUCCAAGAGGCUAGGAUAUGGGUCUUUGGGGAGCCUGGUCUUUAGCUUGGACCAAUGCAAAUACACUUGGAGAUGAGCCUUCAAGAUAAAUGAAAGAAAGAGUCAAAAAAGCACAAAGAGCGGGAGGACUGAGAUCUUGUCAUGAAGCGGAGCAAAGGAGUGGAGCAUGAUGGACUGCAGAGAUAGGCUGUAAAACUAAGCUUGACUGCGUAUCCGGGUGUUUUCUUGAGCGACGCAUUGUUCAUUGAAAGUGAAAUGCUGAUUAUAAUUGAGAGAACCACACAGGAGCACGUUGAAAUAGCUCAUUUGGAGCCUGUGUCAUCGCUUACGGCCAUACCACCCUGAACACGCCCGAUCUCGUCCGAUCUCGGAAGCUAAGCAGGGUCGGGCCUGGUUAGUACUUGGAUGGGAGACCGCCUGGGAAUACCAGGUGCUGUAAGCUUUUCUUUUCUUGUAUCUUGUGCCGUGUUCUCUCUCCAAGAGGGUAGGAUAUGGGUCUUUGGGGAGCCUGGUCUUUAGCUUGGACCAAUGCAAAUACACUUGGAGAUGAGCCUUCAAGAUAAAUGAAAGAAAGAGUCAAAAAAGCACAAAGAGCGGGAGGACUGAGAUCUUGUCAUGAAGCGGAGCAAAGGAGUGGAGCAUGAUGGACUGCAGAGAUAGGCUGUAAAACUAAGCUUGACUGCGUAUCCGGGUGUUUUCUUGAGCGACGCAUUGUUCAUUGAAAGUGAAAUGCUGAUUAUAAUUGAGAGAACCACACAGGAGCACGUUCAAAUAGCUCAUUUGGAGCCUGUGUCAUCGCUUACGGCCAUACCACCCUGAACACGCCCGAUCUCGUCCGAUCUCGGAAGCUAAGCAGGGUCGGGCCUGGUUAGUACUUGGAUGGGAGACAGCCUGGGAAUACCAGGUGCUGUAAGCUUUUCUUUUCUUGUAUCUUGUGCCGUAUUCCCUCUCCAAGAGGGUAGGAUAUGGGUCUUUGGGGAGCCUGGUCUUUAGCUUGGACCAAUGCAAAUACACUUGGAGAUGAGCCUUCAAGAUAAAUGAAAGAAAGAGUCAAAAAAGCACAAAGAGCGGGAGGACUGAGAUCUUGUCAUGAAGCGGAGCAAAGGAGUGGAGCAUGAUGGACUGCAGAGAUAGGCUGUAAAACUAAGCUUGACUGCGUAUCCGGGUGUUUUCUUGAGCGACGCAUUGUUCAUUGAAAGUGAAAUGCUGAUUAUAAUUGAGAGAACCACACAGGAGCACGUUCAAAUAGCUCAUUUGGAGCCUGUGUCAUCGCUUACGGCCAUACCACCCUGAACACGCCCGAUCUCGUCCGAUCUCGGAAGCUAAGCAGGGUCGGGCCUGGUUGGUACUUGGAUGGGAGACCGCCUGGGAAUACCAGGUGCUGUAAGCUUUUCUUUUCUUGUAUCUUGUGCCGUGUUCCCUCUCCAAGAGGCUAGGAUAUGGGUCUUUGGGGAGCCUGGUCUUUAGCUUGGACCAGUGCAAAUACACUUGGAGAUGAGCCUUCAAGAUAAAUGAAAGAAAAAGUCAAAAAAGCACAAAGAGCGGGAGGACUGAGAUCUUGUCAUGAAGCGGAGCAAAGGAGUGGAGCAUGAUGGACUGCAGAGAUAGGCUGUAAAACUAAGCUUGACUGCGUAUCCGGGUGUUUUCUUGAGCGACGCAUUGUUCAUUGAAAGUGAAAUGCUGAUUAUAAUUGAGAGAACCACACAGGAGCACGUUGAAAUAGCUCAUUUGGAGCCUGUGUCAUCGCUUACGGCCAUACCACCCUGAACACGCCCGAUCUCGUCCGAUCUCGGAAGCUAAGCAGGGUCGGGCCUGGUUAGUACUUGGAUGGGAGACCGCCUGGGAAUACCAGGUGCUGUAAGCUUUUCUUUUCUUGUAUCUUGUGCCGUGUUCUCUCUCCAAGAGGCUAGGAUAUGGGUCUUUGGGGAGCCUGGUCUUUAGCUUGGACCAAUGCAAAUACACUUGGAGAUGAGCCUUCAAGAUAAAUGAAAGAAAGAGUCAAAAAGCACAAAGAGCGGGAGGACUGAGAUCUUGUCAUGAAGCGGAGCAAAGGAGUGGAGCAUGAUGGACUGCAGAGAUAGGCUGUAAAACUAAGCUUGACUGCGUAUCCGGGUGUUUUCUUGAGCGACGCAUUGUUCAUUGAAAGUGAAAUGCUGAUUAUAAUUGAGAGAACCACACAGGAGCACGUUGAAAUAGCUCAUUUGGAGCCUGUGUCAUCGCUUACGGCCAUACCACCCUGAACACGCCCGAUCUCGUCCCAUCUCGGAAGCUAAGCAGGGUCGGGCCUGGUUAGUACUUGGAUGGGAGACCGCCUGGGAAUACCAGGUGCUGUAAGCUUUUCUUUUCUUGUAUCUUGUGCCGUGUUCUCUCUCCAAGAGGCUAGGAUAUGGGUCUUUGGGGAGCCUGGUCUUUAGCUUGGACCAAUGCAAAUACACUUGGAGAUGAGCCUUCAAGAUAAAUGAAAGAAAGAGUCAAAAAAGCACAAAGAGCGGGAGGACUGAGAUCUUGUCAUGAAGCGGAGCAAAGGAGUGGAGCAUGAUGGACUGCAGAGAUAGGCUGUAAAACUAAGCUUGACUGCGUAUCCGGGUGUUUUCUUGAGCGACGCAUUGUUCAUUGAAAGUGAAAUGCUGAUUAUAAUUGAGAGAACCACACAGGAGCACGUUGAAAUAGCUCAUUUGGAGCCUGUGUCAUCGCUUACGGCCAUACCACCCUGAACACGCCCGAUCUCGUCCGAUCUCGGAAGCUAAGCAGGGUCGGGCCUGGUUAGUACUUGGAUGGGAGACCGCCUGGGAAUACCAGGUGCUGUAAGCUUUUCUUUUCUUGUAUCUUGUGCCGUGUUCUCUCUCCAAGAGGCUAGGAUAUGGGUCUUUGGGGAGCCUGGUCUUUAGCUUGGACCAAUGCAAAUACACUUGGAGAUGAGCCUUCAAGAUAAAUGAAAGAAAAAGUCAAAAAGCACAAAGAGCGGGAGGACUGAGAUCUUGUCAUGAAGCGGAGCAAAGGAGUGGAGCAUGAUGGACUGCAGAGAUAGGCUGUAAAACUAAGCUUGACUGCGUAUCCGGGUGUUUUCUUGAGCGACGCAUUGUUCAUUGAAAGUGAAAUGCUGAUUAUAAUUGAGAGAACCACACAGGAGCACGUUGAAAUAGCUCAUUUGGAGCCUGUGUCAUCGCUUACGGCCAUACCACCCUGAACACGCCCGAUCUCGUCAGAUCUCGGAAGCUAAGCAGGGUCGGGCCUGGUUAGUACUUGGAUGGGAGACCGCCUGGGAAUACCAGGUGCUGUAAGCUUUUCUUUUCUUUUUGUAUCUUGUGCCGUGUUCUCUCUCCAAGAGGCUAGGAUAUGGGUCUUUGGGGAGCCUGGUCUUUAGCUUGGACCAAUGCAAAUACACUUGGAGAUGAGCCUUCAAGAUAAAUGAAAGAAAGAGUCAAAAAGCACAAAGAGCGGGAGGACUGAGAUCUUGUCAUGAAGCGGAGCAAAGGAGUGGAGCAUGAUGGACUGCAGAGAUAGGCUGUAAAACUAAGCUUGACUGCGUAUCCGGGUGUUUUCUUGAGCGACGCAUUGUUCAUUGAAAGUGAAAUGCUGAUUAUAAUUGAGAGAACCACACAGGAGCACGUUCAAAUAGCUCAUUUGGAGCCUGUGUCAUCGCUUACGGCCAUACCACCCUGAACACGCCCGAUCUCGUCCGAUCUCGGAAGCUAAGCAGGGUCGGGCCUGGUUAGUACUUGGAUGGGAGACCGCCUGGGAAUACCAGGUGCUGUAAGCUUUUCUUUUCUUGUAUCUUGUGCCGUGUUCUCUCUCCAAGAGGCUAGGAUAUGGGUCUUUGGGGAGCCUGGUCUUUAGCUUGGACCAAUGCAAAUACACUUGGAGAUGAGCCUUCAAGAUAAAUGAAAGAAAAAGUCAAAAAAGCACAAAGAGCGGGAGGACUGAGAUCUUGUCAUGAAGCGGAGCAAAGGAGUGGAGCAUGAUGGACUGCAGAGAUAGGCUGUAAAACUAAGCUUGACUGCGUAUCCGGGUGUUUUCUUGAGCGACGCAUUGUUCAUUGAAAGUGAAAUGCUGAUUAUAAUUGAGAGAACCACACAGGAGCACGUUGAAAUAGCUCAUUUGGAGCCUGUGUCAUCGCUUACGGCCAUACCACCCUGAACACGCCCCAUCUCGUCCGAUCUCGGAAGCUAAGCAGGGUCGGGCCUGGUUAGUACUUGGAUGGGAGACCGCCUGGGAAUACCAGGUGCUGUAAGCUUUUCUUUUCUUGUAUCUUGUGCCGUGUUCUCUCUCCAAGAGGCUAGGAUAUGGGUCUUUGGGGAGCCUGGUCUUUAGCUUGGACCAAUGCAAAUACACUUGGAGAUGAGCCUUCAAGAUAAAUGAAAGAAAGAGUCAAAAAAGCACAAAGAGCGGGAGGACUGAGAUCUUGUCAUGAAGCGGAGCAAAGGAGUGGAGCAUGAUGGACUGCAGAGAUAGGCUGUAAAACUAAGCUUGACUGCGUAUCCGGGUGUUUUCUUGAGCGACGCAUUGUUCAUUGAAAGUGAAAUGCUGAUUAUAAUUGAGAGAACCACACAGGAGCACGUUGAAAUAGCUCAUUUGGAGCCUGUGUCAUCGCUUACGGCCAUACCACCCUGAACACGCCCGAUCUCGUCCGAUCUCGGAAGCUAAGCAGGGUCGGGCCUGGUUAGUACUUGGAUGGGAGACCGCCUGGGAAUACCAGGUGCUGUAAGCUUUUCUUUUCUUGUAUCUUGUGCCGUGUUCUCUCUCCAAGAGGCUAGGAUAUGGGUCUUUGGGGAGCCUGGUCUUUAGCUUGGACCAAUGCAAAUACACUUGGAGAUGAGCCUUCAAGAUAAAUGAAAGAAAGAGUCAAAAAAGCACAAAGAGCGGGAGGACUGAGAUCUUGUCAUGAAGCGGAGCAAAGGAGUGGAGCAUGAUGGACUGCAGAGAUAGGCUGUAAAACUAAGCUUGACUGCGUAUCCGGGUGUUUUCUUGAGCGACGCAUUGUUCAUUGAAAGUGAAAUGCUGAUUAUAAUUGAGAGAACCACACAGGAGCACGUUGAAAUAGCUCAUUUGGAGCCUGUGUCAUCGCUUACGGCCAUACCACCCUGAACACGCCCGAUCUCGUCAGAUCUCGGAAGCUAAGCAGGGUCGGGCCUGGUUAGUACUUGGAUGGGAGACCGCCUGGGAAUACCAGGUGCUGUAAGCUUUUCUUUUCUUGUAUCUUGUGCCGUGUUCUCUCUCCAAGAGGCUAGGAUAUGGGUCUUUGGGGAGCCUGGGGCCUCAUGUAUCAACGCUUGCGGCGCAAGAAAACCUUGCGUACGCCAAAAUCGGCGCACACGUCCAGAUUUAUCAUCGCGAAACGAGCGUCGGUUCCAGCGCUAAUCAACGCAAAGUCAGGAGGUGGUGUAGAAAUUGGCGUUGAGCCGAAAACUUGCGUUGACUGUGAUUCGCACUUUGGCGACGCUGUGUGGUGACUCACUAUGUGACAAGCGUCCACACAUUGCAGUGGAUUAAUUGUUAAUCCGACAGCUGUUCGUGUGUUAAUUGUGUUAAUUUGUAACACAUUAACACAAACACGAACACCUGUCGGUAUUACGGGAGGGGCUAUAAAAGAGCGCAUACAACAACACAUACAGAAGACAACAUUCAACAAUGGCAGCACUUGCGCUGAUCGAAGAUAUUUAUAACCGUGCCAUCCGACGUGAGCGUCAUUUUAUGGAGCGGGAGGACCUGCUCCAGAAUACAGACGAAUGGCUCAUGAGCCGGUUCCGGCUACCGCGGGCCAUCCUCCUGGAGCUGUGCGAGGAGCUCCGGCCGGCGCUGGAGCGAUCAACGGCCAGAAGCCGAGCGGUGCCCGUGCCAACGCUGGUGCUGGGCACACUCGGCUUCUUGGCCACAGGAUCCUUCCAGCGGGAGAUGGCGGACCGUGCUGGGGUGAGCCAGUCCACCAUCAGCCGGGCCAUGCCUACGGUGGUGGACCAGCUGAUCCGCCUCUCCAGUCCCUUGACGAGUACGCUUACGUCAACCGAAAAGGCGUUCACUCCAUCAAUGUGCAGAUCAUCUGUGAUGCACAGAUGAAUCUGCUCAACAUUGUUGCGAGGUGGCCCGGUUCAACGCACGACUCGCACAUCAUGUACAACAGCACUGUUGGGGAGAGGCUCCAGGCAGGUGCAGUUACAGACGGGUGGCUGCUGGGUGAGUAAAUAUGUAAUGAUAUAAUGUUAUUCAAAAAUUUGGCGUGCAUCAGUGACUUGAACUAAAUGUGUGCAACGCUGAUAUAUUGUACUCUGCGUUUGAUUGCGAGUACUCGAUGGAUGUUGUGGGUUAUUGAUUGCUUAUUGCUUGCUAUUAUUACAACGCAUCAAGCCCAAAACUUAACACACUGUGCUUUUUCUGAAGGUGACAGUGGCUACCCCCUCAGGACCUGGCUGAUGACCCCUCUCCACAACCCCCACACUGACCGAGAGCGGAGGUACAACCAUCUCCACUCUCGCUCUCGGUCAGUGGUGGAGAGGGCCAUCGGCCAGUUAAAGGGUCGGUGGCGCUGUCUGGACCGGAGUGGCGGCGUGCUUCUUUAUCGUCCGGAGAAGGUGUGCCGCAUUGUGAUGGCGUGUGGCGUCCUUCACAAUGUGGCACAACUGCACCACAUCCCCAUGGCUGAGCAGCACGUCGCCCCAAAUGAUGAUCCAGCAGCAGACGGAGGGAUGCGAGCUGAUCCCUGCCGGGCCGCCGUCCUCGCGCGGGAGAAUCUCAUCGCCACAAUGUGAAUGGGUAAAAAGUGAAUACACAGUUUAAUGAGCCAAAUUAUUUUAUUUUGUCCACCAGACGCUCGAGGACAUUGACGAGGCGGUCCAGCCGCUCGUUGAUCCCCGCGAUCCCCCUAAUUAUUUGUUCCUGUGAUUGCAGGACCGCCUCCGUGAGGACCCUUCCACUGCGUCCGGGUGGUCCAGCGGAAGCGCCGCGCCUGGUGGACGCUCCAUCGCUUGUCGGCGCGCUGGUGCUGGUGCUGGUGCUGGUGCUGGUGCUGGUGCUGGUGCUGGGGCCGGGGGCGGCCCGAAUGCCGCUGGUCCUGGCCGACGACUCCGAGCCGGCGGACGGGCUGCCGCGGGCCGGGGUUCCACAAGCCGGCGACACGGCCGACACAUUGAUUUCU
This 9956-nucleotide long non-coding RNA is filed under the name Xyrichtys novacula (pearly razorfish). Lineage: Eukaryota; Metazoa; Chordata; Actinopteri; Labriformes; Labridae. The record is from RNAcentral.